Molecule: transfer RNA, 55 nt
Filed under: Physaloptera rara
Lineage: Eukaryota; Metazoa; Nematoda; Chromadorea; Rhabditida; Physalopteridae
Description: tRNA-Asn
Rfam family: tRNA
About the family: Transfer RNA (tRNA) molecules are approximately 80 nucleotides in length.
Source: RNAcentral
AGAAUCUGUAGUUUAGAUAGAAUGUAUGAUUGUUACUCAUAAGGGUGUUGGUUCU